AACUAUCUCCUAUCAAGUUUGUGUAUCGUGUACUUGUUCCUUUUUUUUUUUUUUUUUUUUUUGCCAUGUAGAGUCUUCUGAAAAUUGAAAACUAAUUUAUGAUCAUGUAGUUAUUAGCACAAUCACAAAAGAGGUCACUGGUCUUUCCUUUAAUUUCUGUCACAGGCUGCAGGCCGUAUUAUGCUAAAUCAAGGAUACGGGGAGAUAAUUAACAUAGCAACUCUGGCAAGUUUAAUAGGAUCUCACACACAGUGACAGCUAGCAGCGUCCCAAGUGUUGACAUUAUGACUUAGAGAUGUGAUAAAGAGAAACACGAACUGCGUUUUCUCAGCCUGAGCUAAGACAACAAGCCCCCCUGAUGAGGUUGGAAUUGACAAGUGGAUCAAUUUGGAGGUGCCCAUUCAUUCAUCUCUGUUUUAUGCCCACCAGAGGGGCAUGUGAGAUGGGAGAUUGAACCUUGAGUAGCCUAUAAACCAGUCAGAUUUUCUAGUUAACACAUCAAAAGUGUAUCUGUGUACACGAAGUACGAAGAAAACAGUUCAAAGAGGACAAUUAUGCAUGUAAAGUACUUGGCACAGUCAAGACACAUGGAAUGAAUCUCAUGAAAGACUCAAAGUGACCAUGUCAUUGACCAAGAUCUCUGCAGAUCUGGGAUUUAAUAAUUACCUCUUGCAUUCCAAAAGUAUAUCCUAUUAUGGUGCCUCUGUGGGUCCUUUACUUUGCAUUCACUAAGAAGUGAAAAGUCUUACCUAUCAAGGAUUUUAUUUUUUACCUGUACUAUAUGCAGCCUACAAUCAAGAGAGUGAUAUUCUUCCUAGAUCUUACUCUUUCUUAUUAAUUUUCUUUUUUUCUUUCUUAUUAAUUUUCAAUCGUUAAAGAACUUAAAGGACAUAGGGUAGGGGAGAGUGAAGAAUCUAAGGAGGCUCCACACUGGGCCAUCUUGAUUUCACAGCCCAAAUCAAGAGUUGGACAUUUAACCAACUGUGCCACC
Canis lupus familiaris (dog) is the source of this 991-nucleotide long non-coding RNA. RefSeq lists it as uncharacterized. The record is from RefSeq and is a predicted model, not a curated record. Lineage: Eukaryota; Metazoa; Chordata; Mammalia; Carnivora; Canidae. The transcript has 5 exons.